Molecule: ribosomal RNA, 253 nt
Filed under: uncultured bacterium
Lineage: Bacteria
Description: partial 16S ribosomal RNA
Rfam family: Bacterial small subunit ribosomal RNA
Source: RNAcentral
UACAGAGGGUGCGAGCGUUAAUCGGAAUCACUGGGCGUAAAGGGUGCGUAGGCGGGUCUUUAAGUCAGGGGUGAAAUCCUGGAGCUCAACUCCAGAACUGCCUUUGAUACUGAGGAUCUUGAGUUCGGGAGAGGUGAGUGGAACUGCGAGUGUAGAGGUGAAACUCGUAGAUAUUCGCAAGAACACCAGUGGCGAAGGCGGCUCACUGGCCCGAUACUGACGCUGAGGCACGAAAGCGUGGGGAGCAAACAGG